Molecule: ribosomal RNA, 430 nt
Filed under: Fusobacteriota bacterium
Lineage: Bacteria; Fusobacteriati; Fusobacteriota
Description: Fusobacteria bacterium partial 16S ribosomal RNA
Rfam family: Bacterial small subunit ribosomal RNA
Source: RNAcentral
UAGGGAAUCUUCGGCAAUGGACGAAAGUCUGACCGAGCAACGCCGCGUGAGUGAAGAAGGUUUUCGGAUCGUAAAACUCUGUUGUUAGAGAAGAACAAGGAUGAGAGUAGAAUGUUCAUCCCUUGACGGUAUCUAACCAGAAAGCCACGGCUACCUACGUGCCAGCAGCCGCGGUACUACGUAGGUGGCAAGCGUUGUCCGGAUUUAUUGGGCGUAAAGCGAGCGCAGGCGGUUUCUUAAGUCAGAUGUGAAAGCCCCCGGCUAAACCGGGGAGGGUCAUUGGAAACUGGGAAGCUUGAGUGCAGAAGAGGAGGGUGGAAUUCCAUGUGUAGCGGUGAAAUGCGUAGAUAUAUGGAGGAACACCGGUGGCGAAGGCGGCUCCCUGGUCUGUAACUGACGCUGAGGCUCGAAAGCGUGGGGAGCAAACAGG